AUUGCACCUGCACUAAGAUCUGUUUCCAAUCUUUUUUUUCUUCUUCUUCUUCUUCCCAAAGUCCUCUGGUACAUAGUUGCAUAUUCUAGUUGUGAGUGCCUCUGGUUGUGCUAUAUGGGACACUGCCUCAACAGGACCUGAUGAGCAGUGCCAUGUCCACACCCAGGAUCCGAACUGGCAGAACCCUGGGCCGCCGAAGUGGAGCACAUGAGCUUAACCACUCGGCCAUGGGCCCAGACCCCAUACAGCUGUUUUUAAUGUUUUAACCUCCCACAACUCACUCUAGCUUCUAUUUCACAAGUUUUACGUGGUCUAUUGUGUCUCCAGCUCUAAUUUCUUGCCCUAGGUAUCUGUAGAUCUAUAGACCCCCUGCAGCAUUCACGGCAGUGGCCACCACUUUUCCUCACAUGAGAUCCAACUCAGGUGAGACUGAGAUCAGUCCUUCAGGCAGUCCCAAGACUGAUUAGAACAAAUCAAAUAAGUUAUGCUUAGCUACCUCCAGCUGAAGCAAGGAAAUUGGAAGCUGGGCUAUUACCUCUUCCAGAUCAAGUCUGGAGGGGUUAGGACAGGGGUCCUUCUGGUUGUGCUAUGUGGGAUGCUGCCUCAGCACGGCCUGAUGAGUGGUGGCAUGUCUGCGCCCAGGAUCUGAGCCAGUGAAACUUUGGGCCACCAAAGUGGAGCAUGCAAACCUAACCACUCGGCCAUGAGUAAGUCUACUAAAACACAAAUGAGUUUUGAGUUGGAGACAUCCUGAGAAAGUAAGUCCAUCAAGAUUUUGCAGCAAUCUUUGGAAGGAUUUUGAACUUCUUCAGUUCACAAAUUAAAGAAUGCCACCACAGCAUGGCUUGACAAAUGAUGAUAGGUCCACACCUGGGAUCCGAACCUGCGAACCCUGGACCACCAAAGUGGAGCACAGAACUUAACCACUACAUCACAAGGCCAGCCCCUGUUACUCAUUUUUUAAUGGAGUUUGUUUGUGGGAUUUUUUUGUAUUUGUUGGCUUUUUCUAUUGAGUUAUGUAUUUUGGACAUUAACUCAUUAUCAGAUAUAUGGUCUGCAAGUAUUUUCUCCCAUUUUGUAAGUUGCUUUUUACUCUGUUGAUAGUUUCCAUUGCUGUGCAGAAACUUUUUAGUUUUUAUGAAGUUACACUUGUCUAUUUUUGCUUCUGUUGCUUGUGUUUGAUGUCAUAUCCAAGAAAUCAUUGCCAAUAAUCAGGGAAAUGCAAAUCAAAAACAGAAUGAGAUAUAAUCUCACACCUGGUAGGAUGGCCAUUAUAAAAAAAAAACCCACAAGAUAACAAGUUUUGGUGAGAAUGCGGAGAAAUAAGAACCCUUGUGCACUGUUGGUGGGAAUGUAAAAUGGUGAAGCCACUAUGGAAACUGGAUGGAAGUUCCUCAAAAAAUUAAAAAUACACUAAAAAACUACAGCUAACAUCAUAUUUGGUGAUUAGAAACUCAAAGCUUUUCCACUAAGAUCAGGUAUAAGGCAAGGAUGUCCCCAUCACAACUCCUUCUCAAAUCAUGCUGAAAGUCCUUGCCGGGGUAAUAUGGUAAGAAAAGGCAAUAAAAAUAUUACAGAUUGGGAAGGAAAACAUAAAACUGUCUUUUUUCACAGAUCAUUGUCUAUAUAGAAAAUCCAGAAGAACUGACAAACAAAACCUCCUGGAACUAAUAAGCAAUUAUAGCAAGGAUACAGGAUAUAAAGUUAAUACGCAAAAGUCAAUUGUUGUUCUAUAUGCCAACAAUGAAAAGA
This is a long non-coding RNA of Equus caballus (horse), 1752 nucleotides long. Lineage: Eukaryota; Metazoa; Chordata; Mammalia; Perissodactyla; Equidae. The record is from Ensembl.